RNAcentral lists this ribosomal RNA (400 nucleotides) under uncultured bacterium. Its description in RNAcentral is "bacterial SSU rRNA". It matches the Rfam family "Bacterial small subunit ribosomal RNA", at positions 355 to 746 of the family's 1533-position model. The record is from RNAcentral.
UGGGGAAUUUUGCGCAAUGGGCGAAAGCCUGACGCAGCAACGCCGCGUGAGUGAUGAAGGUUUUCGGAUCGUAAAGCUCUGUCAGAGGGGAAGAAACUCCCGGGAGAUAAUAUCGCCUGGGCCUGACGGUACCCUCAAAGGAAGCACCGGCUAACUCCGUGCCAGCAGCCGCGGUAAUACGGAGGGUGCAAGCGUUGUUCGGAAUUAUUGGGCGUAAAGCGCGUGUAGGCGGUUGGUUAAGUCUGAUGUGAAAGCCCUGGGCUCAACCCGGGAAGUGCAUUGGAAACUGGCUAACUUGAGUACGGGAGAGGGUAGUGGAAUUUCGAGUGUAGGGGUGAAAUCCGUAGAUAUUCGAAGGAACACCGGUGGCGAAGGCGGCUACCUGGACCGAUACUGACGC